Molecule: ribosomal RNA, 403 nt
Filed under: uncultured bacterium
Lineage: Bacteria
Description: partial 16S ribosomal RNA
Rfam family: Bacterial small subunit ribosomal RNA
Source: RNAcentral
AUUGAGCGCUGGCGGCAGGCCUAACGCAUGCAAGUCGAGCGAGCGGCGGACGGGUGAGUAAUGUAUGGGGACUGCCCGAUAGAGGGGGAUAACUACUGGAACCGGUGGCUAAUACCGCAUACUAUCGGAUAACCCAUAUGGGAUUAGCUAGUAGGUGGGGUAAAGGCUCACCUAGGCGACGAUCUCUAGCUGGUCUGAGAGGAUGAUCAGCCACACGGGGACUGAGACACGGCCCAGACCCCUCCGGAGGCAGCAGUGGGACAUAUUGCACAAUGUGCGCAAGCCUGAGUCAGCAUUGCCGCGAGUAUGAAGAAGGCCUUAGGGUUAGAAAGUACUUGUAACGGGGAGGCGUCACGCGCAGAAGAAGCACCGUCUAACUCCGUGCCAGCAGCCGCGGUAAUAC